GAUGAACGCUAGCUACAGGCUUAACACAUGCAAGUCGUGGGGUAGCGGAUACUUAGCUUGCUAAGUAUGCCGGCGACCGGCGCACGGGUGAGUAACGCGUACCGAACCUGCCCAUCACACAGGGAUAGGCUUGCGAAAGCAAGAUUAAUAUCUGAUGGUCUCAAUUUUAUGCAUGUAUGAUUGAGUAAGGCCUUCGGGCGGUGAUGGAUGGCGGUGCGUCCCAUUAGGAAGUUGGCGGGGUAACGGCCCACCAAUCCUUCGAUGGGUAGGGGUUCUGAGAGGAAGGCCCCCCAAAUGGGAAUGGGAUUACGGUCCAACCUCCACGGGGAGGAAGCAGGGGGGAAUUGUGGUAAAUGGGCGGGAGCCUGAACCAGCCAAUUAGGGUGGGGGAUGAAGGCCCUGGGGGUCGUAAACCCUUUUUAUCAGGGAAAAAAGGGCCCCACGUGUGGUGUCAUUGCAGGUAGCGAAAAAAAAAGGACCGGCUAAUUCCGU
RNAcentral lists this ribosomal RNA (492 nucleotides) under uncultured bacterium. Its description in RNAcentral is "partial 16S ribosomal RNA". It matches the Rfam family "Bacterial small subunit ribosomal RNA", at positions 28 to 506 of the family's 1533-position model. The record is from RNAcentral.